Molecule: ribosomal RNA, 488 nt
Filed under: uncultured bacterium
Lineage: Bacteria
Description: partial 16S ribosomal RNA
Rfam family: Bacterial small subunit ribosomal RNA
Source: RNAcentral
AUUGAACGCUGGCGGCAGGCCUAACACAUGCAAGUCGAGCGGAAACGAAGGGAGCUUGCUCCCAGGCGUCGAGCGGCGGACGGGUGAGUAACACGUGAGAAUCUGCCCAUUAGUGGGGGACAACUCGGGGAAACUCGAGCUAAUACCGCAUAAUCCCUACGGGGGACAGCAGGGGACCUUUUGGCCUUGCGCUGAUGUAUGAGCUCACGUCGGAUUAGCUUGUUGGUGAGGUAAAGGCUCACCAAGGCGACGAUCCGUAGCUGGUCUGAGAGGAUGAUCAGCCACACUGGGACUGAGACACGGCCCAGACUCCUACGGGAGGCAGCAGUGGGGAAUCUUGGACAAUGGGGGCAACCCUGAUCCAGCCAUGCCGCGUGUGUGAAGAAGGCCUUCGGGUUGUAAAGCACUUUCAGCAGGGAGGAGGGAUUUGGCCGAAUAGGUUGAAGUACUUGACGUUACCUGCAGAAGAAGCACCGGCUAAUUUCGUG